RNAcentral lists this transfer-messenger RNA (374 nucleotides) under Burkholderiales. RNAcentral's name for it is "J223 sp024666615 Standard tmRNA". It matches the Rfam family "transfer-messenger RNA". From Rfam's summary of the family: Bacterial tmRNA, also known as 10Sa RNA or SsrA, is named for its dual tRNA and mRNA-like properties. Its role is to liberate the mRNA from a stalled ribosome. The record is from RNAcentral. RNAcentral also lists the same sequence under 1 other name. Lineage: Bacteria; Pseudomonadati; Pseudomonadota; Betaproteobacteria.
GGGGCCGACCUGGUUUCGACGUGGGUACGGAUCCGGCGCAGGGCAUGCCGAGCACCAGUUCGCUCGUAAAUCCAUCUGGAAACAAAGUAACUGCGAACGACGAACGUUUCGCCCUCGCCGCUUAACACCGGUGAGCUUCUCAACGGCAGGCCGAUGGGCCGGGCCGAAGAUCGCAAGAUCCUAGGCUGAGAAGUCAUUCACAUCGGCUGGCGCUGCAUCGGGUCACUUGGUGCAGCGUGAGACCUAGGUGACUGGCCCCUCCCGCAGCGUGUGCCUGCGCGGCGGUGGGGCGAGACUCAAACCAGAGCACUAAGCAUGUAGAACUGUCCGGUGAUGGCUUGCGGACGCGGGUUCGAUUCCCGCCGGCUCCACCA